CCUACGGGCGGCAGCAGUAGGGAAUCUUUCACAAUGGGCGAAAGCCUGAUGGAGCAACGCCGCGUGCAGGAUGAAGGCCUUCGGGUUGUAAACUGCUUUUAUAAGCGAGAAAUAUGAUGGUAACUUAUGAAUAAGGAUCGGCUAACUACGUGCCAGCAGCCGCGGUCAUACGUAGGAUCCGAGCAUUAUCCGGAGUGACUGGGUGUAAAGAGUUGCGUAGGUGGCAUAAUAAGUAGCUAGUGAAAUCUGGUGGCUCAACCAUUCAGACUAUUAGCUAAACUGUUAAGCUCGAGACCGUUAGGGGUAACUGGAAUGUCUGGUGUAGGAGUGAAAUCCGUAGAUAUUAGAAGGAACACCAAUAGCGUAGGCAGGUUGCUGGGACGGUUCUGACACUAAGGCACGAAAGCGUAGGGAGCAAACGGGAUUAGAUACCCCAGUAGUC
This 442-nucleotide ribosomal RNA is filed under the name uncultured bacterium. Its description in RNAcentral is "partial 16S ribosomal RNA". It matches the Rfam family "Bacterial small subunit ribosomal RNA", at positions 338 to 795 of the family's 1533-position model. The record is from RNAcentral.